CUGGCGGCGUGCCUAAUACAUGCAAGUCGAACGGUCUUUCUAUGGAAGCUUGCUUCCACUGAGAAGAUAGUGGCAACGGGUGAGUAACACGUGGGGUAACCUGCCCAUAAGAGGGGGGAUAACAUCCGGAAACGGGUGCUAAUACCGCAUAGUUUUCUUGAUCGCAUGAUCGGGAAAGGAAAGACGGCCUUUGUGCUGUCGCUUAUGGAUGGACCCGCGGCGUAUUAGUUAGUUGGUGAGGUAACGGCUCACCAAGACGAUGAUACGUAGCCGACCUGAGAGGGUGAUCGGCCACAUUGGGACUGAGACACGGCCCAAACUCCUACGGGAGGCAGCAGUAGGGAAUCUUCCGCAAUGGACGAAAGUCUGACGGAGCAACGCCGCGUGAGUGAAGAAAGGUUUUCGGAUCGUAAAACUCUGUUGUCAGAGAAGAACAAGUUGGAGAGUAACUGCUCCAGCCUUGACGGUAUCUGACCAGAAAGCCACGGCUAACUACGUGCCAGCCGCAGC
Molecule: ribosomal RNA, 510 nt
Filed under: uncultured bacterium
Lineage: Bacteria
Description: bacterial SSU rRNA
Rfam family: Bacterial small subunit ribosomal RNA
Source: RNAcentral